GAUGAACGCUGGCGGCGUGCCUAAUACAUGCAAGUCGAGCGAACAGACGAGGAGCUUGCUCCUCUGACGUUAGCGGCGGACGGGUGAGUAACACGUGGAUAACCUACCUAUAAGACUGGGAUAACUUCGGGAAACCGGAGCUAAUACCGGAUAAUAUAUUGAACCGCAUGGUUCAAUAGUGAAAGACGGUUUUGCUGUCACUUAUAGAUGGAUCCGCGCCGCAUUAGCUAGUUGGUAAGGUAACGGCUUACCAAGGCAACGAUGCGUAGCCGACCUGAGAGGGUGAACGGCCACACGGGAACUGAGACACGGUCCAGACUCCUACGGGAGGCAGCAGUAGGGAAUCUUCCGCAAUGGGCGAAAGCCUGACGGAGCAACGCCGCGGGAGUGAUGAAGGUCUUCGGAUCGUAAAACUAUGUUAUUAGGGAAGAACAAAUGUGUAAGUAACUAGGCACGUCUUGACGGUACCUAAUCAGAAAGCCACGGCUAACUACGUG
RNAcentral lists this ribosomal RNA (497 nucleotides) under uncultured bacterium. Its description in RNAcentral is "partial 16S ribosomal RNA". It matches the Rfam family "Bacterial small subunit ribosomal RNA", at positions 28 to 507 of the family's 1533-position model. The record is from RNAcentral.